Molecule: transfer RNA, 19 nt
Filed under: Debaryomyces hansenii var. hansenii
Lineage: Eukaryota; Fungi; Ascomycota; Pichiomycetes; Serinales; Debaryomycetaceae
Description: partial transfer RNA
Source: RNAcentral
AAUUAAAUCUUGGAAAUUC